GAUGAACGCUGGCGGCGUGCCUAAUACAUGCAAGUCGAGCGAUCAGACGAGGAACUUGCUCCUCUGACGUUAGCGGCGGACGGGUGAGUAACACGUGGAUAACCUACCUAUAAGACUGGGAUAACUUCGGGAAACCGGAGCUAAUACCGGAUAAUAUAUUUAACCGCAUGGUUCAAUAGUGAAAGACGGUUUUGCUUUCACUUAUAGAUGGAUCCGCGCCGCAUUAGCUAGUUGGUAAGGUAACGGCUUACCAAGGCAACGAAGCGUAGCCGACCUGAGAGGGGGAUCGGCCACACUGGAACUGAGACACGGUCCAGCCUCCUACGGGAGGCAGCAGUAGGGAAUCUUCCGCAAUGGGCGAAAGCUUGACGGAGCAACGCCGCGUGAGUGAUGAAGGUCUUCGGAUCGUAAAACUCUGUUAUUAGGGAAGAACAAAUGUGUAAGUAACUAUGCACGUCCUGACGGUACCUAAUCAGAAAGCCACGGCUAACUACGUG
RNAcentral lists this ribosomal RNA (497 nucleotides) under uncultured bacterium. RNAcentral's name for it is "partial 16S ribosomal RNA". It matches the Rfam family "Bacterial small subunit ribosomal RNA", at positions 28 to 507 of the family's 1533-position model. The record is from RNAcentral.